RNAcentral lists this non-coding RNA (48 nucleotides) under Schistosoma mansoni. The record is from RNAcentral. Lineage: Eukaryota; Metazoa; Platyhelminthes; Trematoda; Strigeidida; Schistosomatidae.
AUCCAUCUGACGAGUCCCAAAUGAAACGAAGUGGUGCGCGUCCUGGAU